Molecule: transfer RNA, 73 nt
Filed under: Canis lupus familiaris (dog)
Lineage: Eukaryota; Metazoa; Chordata; Mammalia; Carnivora; Canidae
Also listed under: 1 other name
Rfam family: tRNA
About the family: Transfer RNA (tRNA) molecules are approximately 80 nucleotides in length. Their secondary structure includes four short double-helical elements and three loops (D, anti-codon, and T loops). Further hydrogen bonds mediate the characteristic L-shaped molecular structure. tRNAs have two regions of fundamental functional importance: the anti-codon, which is responsible for specific mRNA codon recognition, and the 3' end, to which the tRNAs corresponding amino acid is attached (by aminoacyl-tRNA synthetases). tRNAs cope with the degeneracy of the genetic code in two manners: having more than one tRNA (with a specific anti-codon) for a particular amino acid; and 'wobble' base-pairing, i.e. permitting non-standard base-pairing at the 3rd anti-codon position.
Source: Rfam by way of RNAcentral
GCCUGGUUGGCUCUGUUGGUGGAGUAUGUGACUCUUGAUCUUGGGGUUGUGAGUUUGAGCCCCACAUUGGGUA